RNAcentral lists this long non-coding RNA (1782 nucleotides) under Nicotiana tabacum (common tobacco). Its description in RNAcentral is "long non-coding RNA (NTAB_LNC015464)". Lineage: Eukaryota; Viridiplantae; Streptophyta; Magnoliopsida; Solanales; Solanaceae. The record is from RNAcentral.
ACUGCUUCCACUCCAGCAUCUCUGCAAAUUCAAGUCGCUCAAAAGAGUUAAAAGGCUUUUUGGAGGAUGAACUACCAUAUAACUACCAUAUUCGAACAAUUUGUUGUUGGAUGAGCCAUACAUUAAUGUAGACAAUCUGACUCCCUGCUCAUCCUUUCAACUACACUGCCAAUUGCUGAUAAAUUGCAUUAGUGUUGACUAUCAAAAAGCAGAAGUAACAAGGAAUUUGAAAAUCAUGAUAUUACUUUUAUUUUGGAUCAGUGAAAAUCAAUAGAUCGAUUACUACUAAAAAGAACAAGAUUAUUUGCAAAAUCUCUUCAAGCAGUUUUUCUACAGGGAUAAAGCAGUUUUCCUAAGAGAAGGAAUGAAGGGACUAAUAGUUUUUGCAACAGAAAUAAAUGAUGCAUAGUAGUCUAGAAUAUUAGAAAAGACAAGCAAUUAAUAAACAAGCCAAGAGAAGCCUUGAAAAUUACAUAUGUCAGAGCGCCACUGUCGGAUCCUCACCAUGUGUCCAUGAAAUUGAGAGGGGAACUUCACAUAAGAAUGAACCUUGAAUAACUCUCUUCCCGGCUUUUCCUUCCCAUACAGAGCAACAAGAUCUAGUCUAAAAAACUUGGCAAAUCAUCAGAGAAUAAAUACUCAAAGAGGACGUAGUCUUUUCCCCUCAUUUAGUCAAACUGAGAAACAAGCCUUUAAUGUGAAACUCAAACUGUAAGGCACCUAAGAUCUACUGUUGGUAGCCGAUGGAGCUCAGAAAGAGACGAGGGAAGCCCUUCUUCCAGCAGUGAUAAAACUUAAUUCUCUUAGGAGACGAAUUUUGUGACAAAUUCUCUUGGGACAUAAGCAGUUAUCAAAAAGAACUCCAAGCUUAGGAGAACCAACUUUCAUUUUCUAUUUUUAAUAGAUAGGAGACAAAUUUUGUGUCGUGUAUACCUUUGAAUUCUAUUAGAGCUUCGCAUUCAAUAGUGGACUUGUGCAUUACUCUAAACCACCUCCUCCUUCAUCAACUUACUGAAAAGGGAAAGAACAAGAAUAUAUGAAUUGCAAUAAAGAUGAAAGUUCAAGCAAGACAUGAACUACAAAACUACAAGUAAGAUGAAGAGUGAGAUAUGUUUUCAGAAGAAUAUAUGAAUUGCAAUAUAUGUGCUAACUGCUUCCUAGAGCAAAUUAUUAGUCCUAUUUAUAAUAUGUUUGUAUCAUAAUGUAUAAAGAUUUCUGCAGUUGCAACAUAUAAGUAACUCUUUUGACAGCUAACCUUAAAUUUCAUUUCGAGCAAAGAUGCUUCCUCGGCUUCACUGUGCAAAUAGACGCUACACACUGCUCAACAAGAUAUAACGAAUAAAAGGAAUUAACACGCAAGCAAAGGUAAGUAGUAAAAACUUGAAAAACAACUACUGAAGGAGAGAACAACUUACAUUUAUUACAGUACUAUUUGAUUUAAUUGCUACAUGCAUUGCUCAUCAAUUCUAUCCAGUAUUCCCCCUUUUCGACUUCUAGACGUGGUUUGAGCAAUGGGCCAGAAGGGAUUGGAUAUUCAGACAAUUCUCGACAACAACAAUAUUGCUGUCAACUCCUGACAAUGCAAGUUUAAUUAUUUCCUAAAACUUUCGGAUGGUUGUCCCUGAUUAUGCGCGCGCGCGCGCACACACACACACACCAAAUUUAUAAUAGCGGAGAGCUACAACAUUUCGACAUACUGGAAAUGAAACUUCACGCAGUAGGAUGAAUCAUUCUUCUUAAUCAAGACAAGAAUAUUAUGAUGCUCAUGGUCGGGUUUAACUG